This 305-nucleotide ribosomal RNA is filed under the name uncultured bacterium. RNAcentral's name for it is "bacterial SSU rRNA". It matches the Rfam family "Bacterial small subunit ribosomal RNA", at positions 334 to 636 of the family's 1533-position model. The record is from RNAcentral.
AAUCCCUACGGGACACAGCAGUGAGGAAUAUUGGUCAAUGGGCGCGAGCCUGAACCAGCCAAGUCGCGUGAGGGAUGACGGCCCUACGGGUUGUAAACCUCUUUUGUCGGGGAGCAAAUUCCGCCACGUGUGGCGGAGUCGAGAGUACCCGAAGAAAAAGCAUCGGCUAACUCCGUGCCAGCAGCCGCGGUAAUACGGAGGAUGCGAGCGGUAUCCGGAUUUAUUGGGUUUAAAGGGUGCGUAGGCGGACUGUCAAGUCAGCGGUAAAAUACGGGGGCUAAACCUCCGCCCGCCGUUGAAGCUGG